GCUUAGGUCUGAUGUGAAAGCCUUCGGCUUAACCGAAGAAGUGCAUCGGAAACCGGGCGACUUGAGUGCAGAAGAGGACAGUGGAACUCCAUGUGUAGCGGUGGAAUGCGUAGAUAUAUGGAAGAACACCAGUGGCGAAGGCGGCUGUCUGGUCUGCAACUGACGCUGAGGCUCGAAAGCAUGGGUAGCGAACAGGAUUAGAUACCCUGGUAGUCCAUGCCGUAAACGAUGAGUGCUAGGUGUUGGAGGGUUUCCGCCCUUCAGUGCCGGAGCUAACGCAUUAAGCACUCCGCCUGGGGAGUACGACCGCAAGGUUGAAACUCAAAGGAAUUGACGGGGGCCCGCACAAGCGGUGGAGCAUGUGGUUUAAUUCGAAGCUACGCGAAGAACCUUACCAGGUCUUGACAUCUUGCGCUAACCUUAGAGAUAAGGCGUUCCCUUCGGGGACGCAAUGACAGGUGGUGCAUGGUCGUCGUCAGCUCGUGUCGUG
Molecule: ribosomal RNA, 490 nt
Filed under: Limosilactobacillus reuteri
Lineage: Bacteria; Bacillati; Bacillota; Bacilli; Lactobacillales; Lactobacillaceae
Description: bacterial SSU rRNA
Rfam family: Bacterial small subunit ribosomal RNA
Source: RNAcentral